RNAcentral lists this ribosomal RNA (260 nucleotides) under uncultured bacterium. RNAcentral describes it as "partial 16S ribosomal RNA". It matches the Rfam family "Bacterial small subunit ribosomal RNA", at positions 355 to 632 of the family's 1533-position model. The record is from RNAcentral.
UAGGGAAUAUUAGAAAUGGACGAAAGUCUGAUCUAGCAACACCGCGUGUGCGAUGAAGGCCUUCGGGUUGUAAAGCACUUUUUGGAAGGAUUAGGAAGGAAUGUACUUCCAGAAUAAGUCUCGGCUAACUGCGUGCCAGCAGCCGCGGUAACACGUAGGAGGCGAACGUUAUCCGGAUUUACUGGGCGUAAAGCGCGUGUAGGUGGUUCUGUAAGUAGGGAGUGAAAGCUACUGGCAUAACAAGAAGAGGCCGUUCUAAA